GACGUAGGGCGCGAGCGUUGUCCGGAUUUAUUGGGCGUAAAGAGCUCGUAGGCGGUUUGUCGCGUCGUUCGUGAAAACUCACAGCUUAACUGUGAGCUUGCGGUCGAUACGGGCAGGCUAGAGUUCGGUAGGGGAGACUGGAAUUCCUGGUGUAGCGGUGAAAUGCGCAGAUAUCAGGAGGAACACCGGUGGCGAAGGCGGGUCUCUGGGCCAGCACUGACGCUCAUGCACGAAAGCGUGGGGAGCAAACAGG
This 253-nucleotide ribosomal RNA is filed under the name uncultured bacterium. Its description in RNAcentral is "partial 16S ribosomal RNA". It matches the Rfam family "Bacterial small subunit ribosomal RNA", at positions 524 to 776 of the family's 1533-position model. The record is from RNAcentral.